UGAGAAGUAAAAGUUUAGGGAGAAAAUAAAAUGUUUUGGGGAAUAAAAGUUUGAGAGAAAGUAAAUAGGGGGAAUAAAAUUUUGGAGGGAAAAUAUUAAAAAAAAUGGAGGGGGGAGGGUUUGGGGUAGAUGAGAGGUGGGAUGAGAAGGGAAUAAAAGUUUUAGGGGAAAAGUGGGAGAGAGUAAAAAUUUGGGGGGAAAAUAAAAGGUUUUGAGGGUUUUUGGGAGUAAAAUUUUGAGAAAAGGUAAAUGGGAGAGUAAAAUUUUGGUGGGAAAUGGAUUUUGGGUAGAUUGGAGGGUUGGGAGGGGAGGGG
Molecule: long non-coding RNA, 314 nt
Filed under: Gossypium raimondii (Peruvian cotton)
Lineage: Eukaryota; Viridiplantae; Streptophyta; Magnoliopsida; Malvales; Malvaceae
Description: long non-coding RNA (GRAI_LNC003628)
Source: RNAcentral